GAUGAACGCUGGCGGCGUGCUUAACACAUGCAAGUCGAACGAUGAAGCCCAGCUUGCUGGGUGGAUUAGUGGCGAACGGGUGAGUAACACGUGAGUAACCUGCCCUUAACUCUGGGAUAAGCCUGGGAAACUGGGUCUAAUACCGGAUAGGAGCGUCCACCGCAUGGUGGGUGUUGGAAAGAUUUAUCGGUUUUGGAUGGACUCGCGGCCUAUCAGCUUGUUGGUGAGGUAAUGGCUCACCAAGGCGACGACGGGUAGCCGGCCUGAGAGGGGGACCGGCCACACUGGGACUGAGACACGGCCCAGACUCCUACGGGAGGCAGCAGUGGGGAAUAUUGCACAAUGGGCGCAAGCCUGAUGCAGCGACGCCGCGUGAGGGAUGACGGCCUUCGGGUUGUAAACCUCUUUCAGUAGGGAAGAAGCGAAAGUGACGGUACCUGCAGAAGAAGCACCGGCUAACUACGUG
This 466-nucleotide ribosomal RNA is filed under the name uncultured bacterium. RNAcentral's name for it is "partial 16S ribosomal RNA". It matches the Rfam family "Bacterial small subunit ribosomal RNA", at positions 28 to 507 of the family's 1533-position model. The record is from RNAcentral.